RNAcentral lists this ribosomal RNA (465 nucleotides) under uncultured Klebsiella sp. RNAcentral's name for it is "bacterial SSU rRNA". It matches the Rfam family "Bacterial small subunit ribosomal RNA", at positions 338 to 795 of the family's 1533-position model. The record is from RNAcentral. Lineage: Bacteria; Pseudomonadati; Pseudomonadota; Gammaproteobacteria; Enterobacterales; Enterobacteriaceae.
CCUACGGGUGGCUGCAGUGGGGAAUAUUGCACAAUGGGCGCAAGCCUGAUGCAGCCAUGCCGCGUGUGUGAAGAAGGCCUUCGGGUUGUAAAGCACUUUCAGCGGGGAGGAAGGCGGUGAGGUUAAUAACCUCAUCGAUUGACGUUACCCGCAGAAGAAGCACCGGCUAACUCCGUGCCAGCAGCCGCGAUAAUACGGAGGGUGCAAGCGUUAAUCGGAAUUACUGGGCGUAAAGCGCACGCAGGCGGUCUGUCAAGUCGGAUGUGAAAUCCCCGGGCUCAACCUGGGAACUGCAUUCGAAACUGGCAGGCUAGAGUCUUGUAGAGGGGGGUAGAAUUCCAGGUGUAGCGGUGAAAUGCGUAGGGAUCUGGAGGAAUACCGGUGGCGAAGGCGGCCCCCCGGACAAAGACUGACGCUCAGGUGCGAAAGCGUGGGGAGCAAACAGGAUUAGAUACCCGGGUAGUC